GAUGAAGAACGCAGCGAAAUGCGAUAAUUAAUGUGAAUUGCAGAAUUCCGUGAAUCAUCGAGUCUUUGAACGCACAUUGCGCCUCAUGGCAUUCCGUGAGGCAUGCCCAUCUCAGCGUUAGAAAAUAUUCUCAAAUUUUAGUUUUGUGCUAAAAUUUGGAUCAUGUCAAGGAAGCUAUUACUAUUAUUGUGAUCGCUCUUUGGAAAUUGAUAGGUCUUUGAGUUGCUACUCAUAGAACGUGAUGAAUCUUUCUUCGUCCUAUUGUAAUUCACUCUGGUAGUCCUAAAACUUGUAUGCCUGUGGCAUAUCUUGUAAUUUGACCUGAGAUUGGGUAGGGAUACCCGCUGAACUUAAGCAUAUCAAUAAGCGGAGGA
This 374-nucleotide unclassified non-coding RNA is filed under the name soil metagenome. RNAcentral describes it as "partial contains internal transcribed spacer 2 and large subunit ribosomal RNA". The stretch from base 1 to 120 matches the Rfam family "5.8S ribosomal RNA", at positions 35 to 154 of the family's 154-position model. The record is from RNAcentral.